CUUCAUCUUAAAUGUAAUUAUUCAAUUAACAUUAUAACCUAGCCUCGAUGUGAUGUGUGUAAAUUGAAAACUCAUUUCCAUAAAUGCAGUAAUUGGCGAUUAUUUUUGGAGGUUUUAUUUUCUUCUAAUAUUUUUGUGAAGAUGGUUAUUGGGCUGUAUGUCGUUUUUUCCUCGCAUGCUGGGAUGUUUCGAGUGCUACUGGCUGGUUUGUGAGACUGGUUGAAUCAAGUAGCUAUCCGUUGUGAAUGGUUGGUCAUCAUUUUGAAUCAUAGAAUUCAGUUCACAACUCGCGCGAAGACAAUAAUUGAUUCUGAAUUAAAAUGGGUGUGUUCUCAGUAGUCAUCUCACUGUUGACAACUAUACAGUUUAUGAGCAAUUACAGCACUUUUGCACUCGUUCCCUUUUUUAAUUAUAUAAUGUUAGGUUAUGUUACAAAUGUAUAUUAUAUGAAUGUAUUUGAUAAUCCUGACAUUGAUAAUAAUACCAAGUGUUUCGUAUCCUUAUAUCAUGGGUGGCCAGAGCAUAUAAACUUGACCCGAUAUAAUGAUAUAUAUCAUGAAAGUAACAGCUAUGAUGUUUGUGACUAUGCAGAAAGAAUGUUGCAGUUGCAUAAGCAUGUCCUCUUAUGGGGAAUCUAUAGUAAAGACCCCAAGGUUAAAAAAUACAAUAACCGUAUAGCUGGUAUUGAAUAUGCUUAUGCAUUUUCCAAGUUUUCUGGUCAACCUUACGAAUAAUCAUGUAAAACUUCAACAAUUAUAGUUUGCCACCAUUUGUGUUAGUAGUGAUUUGGUUUUCAACAGUUUUUUGAGGCCAAUGAAACUUUCACUGAAGAAAGAUACUAAUUAUGUAAUUACAUGAUGGUUGGAAUUUACUGAUUUGUUUAUUUAUGUGUUCAUACUUAGUAUAAAAAUAACUUGAUAUUUAUUGAAGUAUUUGUAGACGCCAUAUACUAAAAAAAAGAAAGAAAAAAGAAAUGAAAUUUGCUUUGAAGAGUCCCCAGGUAUACUGUAUUCAGGCCUAUGAGACUUCAUAAUUUAGUGACUGUACUACUGUAAAUUGUAGGUAUAUGUAGAUACUGGACAAUAAUAUCAUAUGUUGUGAUGAUCAUGUCAUGUUUAUAUUUACAUCAUGUUUACAUACCACAAUACAGGUACCUAGCUUAGAAUUAAACUGGAAAUGAACUGAAA
Planococcus citri (citrus mealybug) is the source of this 1187-nucleotide long non-coding RNA. RefSeq lists it as uncharacterized. The record is from RefSeq and is a predicted model, not a curated record. The transcript has 2 exons. Lineage: Eukaryota; Metazoa; Arthropoda; Insecta; Hemiptera; Pseudococcidae.